GACGAACGCUGGCGGCGUGCUUAACACAUGCAAGUCGAACGGUGAACCUCUUCGGAGGGGAUCAGUGGCGAACGGGUGAGUAACACGUUGGCAACCUGACCCCCGCCCUGGGAUACCUCCAAGAAAUUGGGGCUAAUACCGGAUGUUCACCGCUUCCCGCAUGGGUGGUGGUGCAAAGGGUUUCCGGCGGGGGAUGGGCCCGCGGCCUAUCAGCUUGGUGGUGGGGUAGUGGCCUACCAAGGCCACGACGGGUAGCCGGCCUGAGAGGGUGACCGGCCACACUGGGACUGAGACACGGCCCAGACUCCUACGGGAGGCAGCAGUGGGGAAUAUUGCGCAAUGGGCGGAAGCCUGACGCAGCGACGCCGCGUGGGGGAUGACGGCCUUCGGGUUGUAAACCUCUUUCAGCAGGGACGAAGCGCAAGUGACGGUACCUGCAGAAGAAGCACCGGCCAACUACGUG
Molecule: ribosomal RNA, 463 nt
Filed under: uncultured bacterium
Lineage: Bacteria
Description: partial 16S ribosomal RNA
Rfam family: Bacterial small subunit ribosomal RNA
Source: RNAcentral